GCCUCAGCUGCUCCAGUCCAUCUACCAGGGAGGCUUUCAAUGGUGGACCCCCCACUACCCCAAACUUCACCCCCACCCCUACCCGGACCCCCAUCCUCUCUGUAGCCCUGUGUGAUGAUGAGAGCCGGUGAAAGUGAUUUGUGUUGAUUUAGUAACAGCUUGCACUGGCUCCCAAAACUGUUACCGCUGCUGUCUCAGCAGGAACAGAUCAUGGUAUGGCAGCCAUGACACCUCAGACCAGCGCCCAGGGACCAAUUCCAGCUCCCCUUUGCCAGGUGCUUUGGCACCAACAGAAGUUUAAACCCGAACAUACAUGUCUUUAAUGGUGGAAGGAAACCAGAGCACCCGGUGGAAAUCCAUGCAGCCUGGGACAGCCGGGGUUCAAACACAGGACGUGUGUGUGCCCAAAUGCACACAUAAACACACACACACACAAAAACCAACAGAAUACAUUGUUUUAUCAAAAGGUCAGCAUGUAUGUGUGUAGUCAGUAUAACUGAUAUUGUCUUCCUGUUGUAUUUUAACUUAUUUACUUUUGGAUAUUAUAGAUUUAUUUUGACACAGAGCUUGCUCUUAGUUGAGGUCAAAGUUAAUAACUAUGACAUCUGGUCACAUGAUAGGCUGACUUUAAAAGUUGUUCAUUCCAACUCUGAACUUUGGAAGACUGGUUUCCAGUACUGUGGACUGUGAUACUUACUGAUUUACUUACUGAUAUAUUUUUUCAAAAUACCUGAAAGAAUACCUUAUCUGAGAGUGUGACAACCUCUUUGUGUGUUUUGUUGUGAUCUUAUGUCAUUUGCUCUCAAGUAUUUCUUGCAAAAGAGAUCUUGACCUCAGUGACACUUCUGGAAAAAAUAAAGCUUAACUAACUAA
Molecule: long non-coding RNA, 873 nt
Organism: Thunnus maccoyii (southern bluefin tuna)
Lineage: Eukaryota; Metazoa; Chordata; Actinopteri; Scombriformes; Scombridae
Exons: 2
Source: RefSeq, a predicted model, not a curated record